This is an RNA transcript of Salvia splendens (bonfire salvia), 1456 nucleotides long. It is a transcript of the gene named ribosomal protein S5 domain protein, with no coding region annotated. NCBI's taxonomy places the organism in Eukaryota, Viridiplantae, Streptophyta, Magnoliopsida, Lamiales, Lamiaceae. The record is from RefSeq and is a predicted model, not a curated record. The transcript has 7 exons.
AUGGGCAUCGCAUUGGAACGGGCUCAGCCCUUAGGGUCGGGCGACCCGGCACCCACAACUGUGACCCGGCUUCUUCCCAUUCCAGCGGGACUGGCCAGCACCACAUCGGGCCAACUGUUUGUGGUCUUGUGGAUGAUCUAAGUUGGGAUGUAAAACCGAACACUAUCAGUUUUGUUAUUUCUCGAUUUCAUUCUCAUUUCAAAUUAAUUCCACAAAAAAUCAAAUUGUGGAGUAGUUUGGAUUCCAUCUGUAUUUAUCGGAAAAAUUGUCGUCACCAUAAAGCUAUGUCGUAGCACAUGCCGCUGCCGCUGCCUCUCGCUCGUCUAACCUUCAAUCAGUUGACAAACAACACUUUUAGCAAGGCCAAAGGACUGUCUUUGUCAAUGGUCACUGCUUCUUCCGGUGGCGGCGGCGCAUUCACCACGCUCAAAGAGAGAGUCUCUUUUGACAAAGAAAUCAAGAAAAGCAAAUUCAUCGCCAUCGCCGCCCCUAUCUCUGAUGAGCGCUCCGCUUUCUCCUUUCUUUCCGAGGUUCGUGAAUCCCGUGCCACUCACAAUUGCUGGGCUUACAAGAUUGGAGAUCAGUUUCGGAGUUAUGAUGACGGUGAACCAUCCGGAACAGCAGGCAAGCCAAUACAAUCGGCAAUUGAGUCUUCGGGGAUAGAUAGAGUUAUGGUGGUUGUUAUCAGGUACUUUGGAGGAAUCAAACUUGGCACUGGUGGACUGGUUAGAGCUUACGGAGGUGUAGCUGCAGAAUGCUUAAAAAACGGCCAAACUUGUCUUGUGAAAUCCAAAGUUCCUAUGGGUUUGGAGGUCACAUUUGAUCUUUUGGGAGUUCUAUACCACCAACUUCAGUCUUUUCAAGCUGAGGACAUCAAGCAGGAUUACGAUACUGGAAAAGAUAACGUUACAAUGGUCACUUUCAAAGUUGAUUUUGAUAAGGUAGAAAGUCUGGAAGAAGCUCUAAAGUCUAAUUGUAGCCGUGAUAUUGUGUUCUACCGGCGCUGAAGCCUACUUCCUCUCCUCACAUUAACUGAAGAUCAUUCAGUUUAAGUAAAAAAAUAUUUUCUGGACAAGCACUAUACAUUUCCAUUUUUGCCUCAACUAUGAAGAAACGGAGGGAGUACUUGAAAGGAUCAGAUGAAUAACGCAGUAUUAGAUGUCUGCAUUAGGUGGCACGCAGCCCAGCUUGCAUCGAGAGGCUUGAGAGUGGGACCUCCAUGGCCAAAGAGACAAGAAGGUGAGUGUUGCAGGCUACCAUUGAUGAAUAGCUCUGAGUUGUGAUACUGAUGAGAUUAGAAUAUUGAUUUGAGGAUUUGUGUCUAACAUUUAAAGAGGCCAAAUUGACAGAGGCUGUUGGGGUAGCUUCCAUUCAUGAAAUAGACUUGUUUACAACAUUGGUGGUUUUUGUCUUGUGAAAGAAAUGUGAUGGUGUGGAGAUCAUCGGUACUUGAUUA